This 486-nucleotide ribosomal RNA is filed under the name uncultured bacterium. RNAcentral describes it as "partial 16S ribosomal RNA". It matches the Rfam family "Bacterial small subunit ribosomal RNA", at positions 30 to 507 of the family's 1533-position model. The record is from RNAcentral.
AUUGAACGCUGGCGGCAUGCCUUACACAUGCAAGUCGAACGGCAGCACGGGUGCUUGCACCUGGUGGCGAGUGGCGAACGGGUGAGUAAUACAUCGGAACAUGUCCUGUAGUGGGGGAUAGCCCGGCGAAAGCCGGAUUAAUACCGCAUACGAUCUACGGAUGAAAGCGGGGGACCUUCGGGCCUCGCGCUUUAGGGUUGGCCGAUGGCUGAUUAGCUAGUUGGUGGGGUAAAGGCCUACCAAGGCGACGAUCAGUAGCUGGUCUGAGAAGGCGACCAGCCACACUAGGACUGUGACACGGCCCAGACUCCUACGGGAGGCAGCAGUGGGGAAUGUUGGACAAUGGGCGAAAGCCUGAUCCAGCAAUGCCGCGUGUGUGAAGAAGGCCUUCGGGUUGUAAAGCACUUUUGUCCGGAAAGAAAUCCUUGGCUCUAAUACAGUCGGGGGAUGACGGUACCGGAAGAAUAAGCACCGGCUAACUACGUG